Long non-coding RNA from Podarcis muralis (Common wall lizard), 915 nucleotides. RefSeq lists it as uncharacterized. The record is from RefSeq and is a predicted model, not a curated record. NCBI's taxonomy places the organism in Eukaryota, Metazoa, Chordata, Lepidosauria, Squamata, Lacertidae.
UAGAACACGAUGUUCAAAAGAAAUUGAAUUUUAUUCUCUGAGCAUCUGGAAUGGUCUAGAUAAAGAGCCCUAGCAAGCAUGGCCAAUAGAAAUGAUGGGAGCUAUAGUUCAAGAACAUCUGGAGGGCCAAAGAUUCCCCACAUUUGGCCUAGAUCUAGAAAAUGUCUCAACUCUCAUGCCUUUCUACCUAAUUCUACAUAAUUCUUCUGAUUAUUUUCUUUCCCUUUCUCUCUCUCUCUGGUUAGACAGUCACCAGAGGGAUGCUCAUGAUUAGGCCUUGCAGAACCACUUGGAAAGGACAGCACUACACUGUAGAUCUGAAUAAUUUCAUUCACAGCCGUAAGGAGUCACAAGAAGUGUAUCCCAUUUAAGUUCGGCCAGUUUAUUGCCCCCUCAAUCAAAUGGUGCAAUUCCUAAAGAAGUGGGUGCAGCUCUAGCAUUGGUGACUAAACUCUAUAAACUAGUUUAGUCCUAUGAAAAGGGAGACAGAAGGCCCACCCAUACUCCACUUCAUCUGCAUUUUGCUGCCUUUACACUUCGCUGAGCUCAUCUAUUCACCCCUCUACCUCCCAUUAAGAAACAGCAGCAUGACAGAGCAGAGUUGAGAUGAACAUUGUCGCCGCACCAUACCAUCUGCUAUUUACUCCACACAUGGGGAUAAGAAUAUUGGCCUGCUGUGAGAAUUACUGAUAAAAUGAAUGUGAAGUGCUUUGAGCAUUCAGGAAGAGAGGUUCGGCUAUUACAAUUAAAAAUACUCAACAAAGGAUCAUCACAGAUAUACUGAAAGAAACAUAAGGAAAAUAAUGAGGGAGAGAAAGAGAGACUUCAUGGACCAGAAUGGUGAAUGCUGGUAAGGAAUCUUUUCUCUUGGCAGAAAUCCAAGGAUCAAAAUGUAGGCUUCAGCAGCUGUGGUGA